UGCAUGCACAGGUCGCGCUCAUACUGUGUUGUCUGGAGCUUUCCUUGCAUUUGGCGUAACACCGUAUCUGGUGAUGACAGCGGGACGGGAACGGCAUUUGAAUAGUGUGAGUUCUCGGCUGAUCUGCCACCAUCUUUAAAGUCGCUCUGGAUCACUGAGACUAUUCCCCGCUCAGCAGCUUUGGGUGAACUGAUCCUCGCACUCUGCCGCAAUAAAGAGGACAGUUUCCACCGUCAGCGCUGAGGUAAGGAUACGCUUGGAUGUAUCUGAGGGCAGUGACCUGUCUGGCCUCAGUCCAUGUCCUGCCAACAAACAGUGGAUCUGCUGGAGAUGUUAUUCACCAGACAGUCGGCGUUCCUAGACGUGUCACAGGUGAAUUCAUUUUUUUCCUGUUGUGUUUUUUCAUUCGAAAGCCUAACAAGAGGUGUGGCAGUCAUUCAUUUGCAAUAAUAGAAAUAAAUAUCCCCUGCUCUUGC
This is a long non-coding RNA of Mugil cephalus (flathead mullet), 476 nucleotides long. RefSeq lists it as uncharacterized. The transcript has 3 exons. The record is from RefSeq and is a predicted model, not a curated record. Lineage: Eukaryota; Metazoa; Chordata; Actinopteri; Mugiliformes; Mugilidae.